GUGCUCGAUUCGGCAGCACAUAUACUAAAAUUGGGACGAUACAGAGAAGAUGAUCAUAACCCUUGCGCAAGGAUGACACGCAAAUUUGUGAGACAUUCCGUAUUUAG
This is a small nuclear RNA of Jaculus jaculus (lesser Egyptian jerboa), 107 nucleotides long. The record is from Ensembl. Lineage: Eukaryota; Metazoa; Chordata; Mammalia; Rodentia; Dipodidae.